This 447-nucleotide ribosomal RNA is filed under the name uncultured bacterium. RNAcentral describes it as "bacterial SSU rRNA". It matches the Rfam family "Bacterial small subunit ribosomal RNA", at positions 330 to 793 of the family's 1533-position model. The record is from RNAcentral.
UCCAGACUCCUACGGGAGGCAGCAGUGGGGAAUAUUGCACAAUGGGGGAAACCCUGAUGCAGCAACGCCGCGUGAGUGAAGAAGUAUUUCGGUAUGUAAAGCUCUAUCAGCAGGGAAGAAGAUGACGGUACCUGAGUAAGAAGCCCCGGCUAACUACGUGCCAGCAGCCGCGGUAAUACGUAGGGGGCAAGCGUUAUCCGGAUUUACUGGGUGUAAAGGGAGCGUAGACGGCUGCGCAAGUCUGAAGUGAAAGUCCGGGGCUCAACCCCGGGACUGCUUUGGAAACUGUGUAGCUAGAGCGCUGGAGAGGCAAGCGGAAUUCCUAGUGUAGCGGUGAAAUGCGUAGAUAUUAGGAAGAACACCAGUGGCGAAGGCGGCCUGCUGGACCGUAACUGACGUUGAGGCUCGAAAGCGUGGGGAGCAAACAGGAUUAGAUACCCGUGUAAG